CACUUGAUCUAAUCAGUUUAUAUGAUGACUCUGAGUGCAUUUGGCUCGAGACUUUCUGUCGGUGUGGAAAAAACCAAGCUACCUUACUAUUUUUUGUCUGAUU
Molecule: small nucleolar RNA, 103 nt
Filed under: Suhomyces tanzawaensis NRRL Y-17324
Lineage: Eukaryota; Fungi; Ascomycota; Pichiomycetes; Serinales; Debaryomycetaceae
Source: RNAcentral